UGGCUCAGGACGAACGCUGGCGGCGUGCUUAACACAUGCAAGUCGAGCGGAAAGGCCCUUCGGGGUACUCGAGCGGCGAACGGGUGAGUAACACGUGAGCAACCUGCCCCAGGCUUUGGGAUAACCCCGGGAAACCGGGGCUAAUACCGAAUAUGACCUCUGACCGCAUGGUUGGUGGUGGAAAGUUUUUCGGCUUGGGAUGGGCUCGCGGCCUAUCAGCUUGUUGGUGGGGUGAUGGCCUACCAAGGCGACGACGGGUAGCCGGCCUGAGAGGGCGACCGGCCACACUGGGACUGAGACACGGCCCAGACUCCUACGGGAGGCAGCAGUGGGGAAUAUUGCACAAUGGGCGGAAGCCUGAUGCAGCGACGCCGCGUGAGGGAUGACGGCCUUCGGGUUGUAAACCUCUUUCAGCAGGGACGAAGCGUAA
RNAcentral lists this ribosomal RNA (430 nucleotides) under Micromonospora sp. Its description in RNAcentral is "bacterial SSU rRNA". It matches the Rfam family "Bacterial small subunit ribosomal RNA", at positions 20 to 455 of the family's 1533-position model. The record is from RNAcentral. Lineage: Bacteria; Bacillati; Actinomycetota; Actinomycetes; Micromonosporales; Micromonosporaceae.